This 346-nucleotide unclassified non-coding RNA is filed under the name Hevea brasiliensis (rubber tree). Lineage: Eukaryota; Viridiplantae; Streptophyta; Magnoliopsida; Malpighiales; Euphorbiaceae. The record is from RNAcentral.
GGACGAGCUGUCCUUUCAAUAUUCACCAAUGUCAGAAGAUUCAGAUGAUUCACGGUGUUAUGAGGCUUUGACGAACACCAGCUCACCCCAACGUGAGAGUGCACCAACUAGUCCAGUCUCACCCUACCGAUAUCACAGACCAAUGAAUGGGUUCUCAUCAUGCCCUCCCUCCACGUCAUAUCCGUCACAUUCCUGCAACUUCCCUCCUGCCACAUCCUCCCAGCCUCGUCAACGAGGCUCUGAUUCUGAGGGUCGAUUUCCAUCAUCACCCAGUGACAUAUGCCACUCUGCUGACUUAAGGAGAGCUGCACUUUUGCGGUCUGUGCAAAUGAGGACUCAACCUCCU